Pelobates cultripes (western spadefoot toad) is the source of this 377-nucleotide non-coding RNA. The record is from the annotation of a GenBank genome assembly. NCBI's taxonomy places the organism in Eukaryota, Metazoa, Chordata, Amphibia, Anura, Pelobatidae.
GGGAAGAGUGUCUGCCAUCCCACCACUCACAUGUAGUAGAGCGAAGGUAAGGGAGGGUACUGGUAUAGGGUUAUCGCUGGAUUCCGCAGCGUCGCUGUACCAGUGAUGAUAAAAGAAGAUUCAUGUGAGGGCAUCUGUAACGGAUCCCCUAUAUUCCGGCUGAGUAUACCCGUGAAAAAUCUCCCAAGUCCCAAACGCGGUAGUGAUUAUAAGUGUGAAUAUAGCUCACAAUCCCCCAAACAUGAGCUUAGACUUCAUGAAGGGCUAAAAUGGUCUGUUUAAUCCAGGCUCAAUGCUCUGCUUUUAAACAUUACAGGGACACAAUAAACACACCCAUGACACUCCCACAACACACCCAUAAACACGCCUACACAAUG